Molecule: ribosomal RNA, 253 nt
Filed under: uncultured bacterium
Lineage: Bacteria
Description: partial 16S ribosomal RNA
Rfam family: Bacterial small subunit ribosomal RNA
Source: RNAcentral
UACGUAGGGUGCAAGCGUUAAUCGGAAUUACUGGGCGUAAAGCGUGCGCAGGCGGUUAUAUAAGUCAGCUGGGAAAUCCCCGGGCUCAACCUGGGAACUGCAGUUGAGACUGUAUGGCUAGAGUGUGUCAGAGGGGGGUAGAAUUCCACGUGUAGCAGUGAAAUGCGUAGAUAUGUGGAGGAAUACCGAUGGCGAAGGCAGCCCCCUGGGAUAACACUGACGCUCAUGCACGAAAGCGUGGGGAGCAAACAGG